GCCCAAGUGGCGGAAUGGUAGACGCAGGGGAUUCAAAAUCCCCCGCCAGCAAUGGCGUGAGAGUUCGAGUCUCUCCUUGGGCACCA
Molecule: transfer RNA, 86 nt
Filed under: Rhodobacterales bacterium
Lineage: Bacteria; Pseudomonadati; Pseudomonadota; Alphaproteobacteria; Rhodobacterales
Description: tRNA-Leu
Rfam family: tRNA
About the family: Transfer RNA (tRNA) molecules are approximately 80 nucleotides in length. Their secondary structure includes four short double-helical elements and three loops (D, anti-codon, and T loops). Further hydrogen bonds mediate the characteristic L-shaped molecular structure. tRNAs have two regions of fundamental functional importance: the anti-codon, which is responsible for specific mRNA codon recognition, and the 3' end, to which the tRNAs corresponding amino acid is attached (by aminoacyl-tRNA synthetases). tRNAs cope with the degeneracy of the genetic code in two manners: having more than one tRNA (with a specific anti-codon) for a particular amino acid; and 'wobble' base-pairing, i.e. permitting non-standard base-pairing at the 3rd anti-codon position.
Source: RNAcentral